Molecule: unclassified non-coding RNA, 174 nt
Filed under: soil metagenome
Description: partial contains 5.8S ribosomal RNA, internal transcribed spacer 2, and large subunit ribosomal RNA
Source: RNAcentral
AACGCACGAGACCUGCGGACCUGCGGAGGGAUCAUUAUUUGAUCUAAAUCGGAGGCUUAUGUCGCCGUUUUGCUUUGUGAACUGUCUUGUACUGUUGUAUUUUUUUUAAAGUUGUUGUUGUUUUCUUCGGAAAAUACAAAUAAAGACAACUUUCAACAAUGGAUCUCUAGAUCA